Molecule: long non-coding RNA, 1953 nt
Organism: Labeo rohita (rohu)
Lineage: Eukaryota; Metazoa; Chordata; Actinopteri; Cypriniformes; Cyprinidae
Exons: 4
Source: RefSeq, a predicted model, not a curated record
UCCAUCCAGUUCAUAGAAUAAAGUCUACCUGGACUUGGCAAAACAUCUGUGGAUCAAUGGGAAAGGGGCUUUAAUUGUGACUCAUGUAGUUCAGUUCUAACUUCUCUGACAGCAAAAUGAGUGAAACAGUGAUUUAACUGGAGGUCAAUCACAUCAAAAACAGAGAACCUUUAUUGAUAUGCCUCUCUAAGUUUUAAAUAGGUUCAAGUUUUUGGCUUUAAUGGACAGGACAGUAGAGCAAUGACAGGAAAGUACUGGGCAGAGAGAGGGGAGCAGGAUCGGCAAAGGACCUCGAGACGGGAUUCGAACUCGGGUCGCUGCAAGCAUAGUUGUGCUAUAUGUUGGCCCACUAACCACAAGGCUAUCGGCGCCGACCAACAGCUACAAUUCUGACCUUGAAUGUGAUAGGACCCUUGCUGUCUAUGGAAUGUCAGAAAGCUCUCAGAUUUCACCAAAAAUAUCUUAAUUUGUGUUCUGAAGAUGAACGAAGAUCUUACAGGUUUGGAACGACAUGAGGAGGCUGAACACUUGCAAAAGGUUCUGAAUGAACUUUCACCCACAUUUACACCAGCUCUAUAACAUCAAAGAAGCCAGUUCAGACCAGCAUUCCUGCAGAUUCCAGAUAUUAACUAGAGCUGAAGCACAGCUGGGAAAGAGCGCUCUCUACUGACCAAAUAAUCAAACAAAAGAGAUACAAAUGACAACACAACAAGCAUAUGUAAGUUUGCUUUCUUUUUUAUACAAAAUAACUACUUUAUUUCAUCAUCUUUCAUCAUGACAUUAAAAUGUUCAUUUAGGUGCAUGGAUUUUCAUUUCUCCUCUAAGAAAUACAUCUAUGAAAGUCUCUUUCAUACACUUGCUAGAUGUCAUCUUUGAGGUAGCGCAAAUUUGGCAUCUACUCCUUUUCUCCACUUGCCGUUUGUGAAAGAUGGGCAAAAAUCUACAAGAGAAUAUACAUGAGAAACAGCAACAACACAAAAGACUACAAGUCAACAGACAGGGCUCUUUCAUGCUUCGUUUUUUUUCUUCUCCAUUUUCCUAUUUUCUUUAGACAGACUUUUCAGUACAGUGUCUUCAAUAAAGUGCCAACUCCAUUCCCCUCCAUAAAUACAUUAUGAAAGAUGUCACAUUAACACACUAGACAAACAACAGUGACAUACACAGACAAAGAGUAAAUAGAAAAGUAACAUCAUAGUAACUCACUCUUUUAACAAUCAGAAUCCACUUAUUUAUACCUACAUCUCCAAAAGGUACUGCAAGAGAUGAGACUGAAUUGAUCACAUUCAACAAUUCAAGUCUCGCUAUUAAUACCACACGAGAAAUGGCAACAGGCGAAUCAAACCCAACAUAGCCAUUCCUUAGCUCUCCAAAUGAACUGUGCUUGUACAAACUCACAAUGUCCUUUAGGACCAUUCAGUUCUUGUCCAUAUCUGACCCUGAGCCCAAAGUCAUCUGCAGGUGCAGGAGUCUGCAAUCAUAUCUUCAUAUUCUUUAUAAACUAUGUUUCCAUUCCUCUCCAUCAUCAGCACACUGACAGGUUUGUAUUUAUAAGGCACGCAAGAGGGCAACGGGAUAUCUGCCACACCGAGCUCGCUGAUGAACGUCUGCAUGAUCGCAUGAUUGGGUGAACUGUAGCCGUAAUGCAGAAUACGAGGACAGUCUCCCUUACAGUAACGAGGAUUGUACUUGGGGGGUGCAAUGAUCCAGUGGUCCCAUCCCAAAUCUUUAAAUGACACACGAUAGGAGUGCAGCUUGCAAUGGUUUUUGGCCACGCUGUUCGGCCCUUGCUUGUAGUUGGGGAUGUCAGAGAUGAUGCUCCCGGGUUCCCCAGAACGACGGGUCCUGGGGCGGGAAAGGGGCGUGAUGUACUUCCCCCAUUCCACAGGCUGCUUGUUCUCCUCCAGGAACAGCAGCAAAACAGGAGCUUGAAGAUGGUGUUGAGGUGGGAAAUGU